GCAGUGGGCGAGGCACAUGACGUCACCGCGAGGCUCGCAGGGAGUUGUAGGCCCAGCUCGUACCAGAGCCCUAAGUACUUCGGGCCGAGCCGCCGCACAGGCACCUGGGAGUCGUAGGCGGCUCGGCCCAGAGCCUUCUGGGAGUCGUAGUCCUUGUACCCGCUUCCGCCUUUUCUCGAGCCUGGACCGUGCAGCGUGCGUUCUACUCAGGAGAAGCCUACCUCUCCUGCCCCGCUCGGACCCCGCGAUGCCAGCUCCGCAGUGCGCCACCUGCCACAAGGCGCGCGCCGCCCUCCGCCGCCCGCGCUCGGGCCGCGCGCUGUGCGGCGCCUGCUUCUGCGCCGCCUUCGAGGCCGAGGUGCUGCACACGGUGGUCGCGGGCCGCCUGCUGCCGUCCGGGGCCGUGGUGGCCGUGGGCGCCUCGGGCGGCAAGGACUCCACGGUGCUGGCGCACGUGCUGCAGGUGCUGGCGCCGCGCCUGGGCAUCUCGCUGCGCCUGGUGGCCGUGGACGAGGGCAUCGGCGGCUACCGGGACGCGGCGCUGGCGGCCGUGCGGCGCCAGGCGGCGCGCUGGGAGCUCCCGCUCACCGUCGUGGCCUACGCAGACCUCUUCGGGGGCUGGACGAUGGACGCCGUAGCCCGUAGCACGGCCGGCUCCGGCCGCAGCCGCGCCUGCUGCACCUUCUGCGGGGUGCUGCGGCGCCGGGCGCUGGAGGAGGGGGCGCGCCUCGUGGGAGCCACGCACAUCGUGACGGGCCACAACGCCGACGACAUGGCGGAGACCGUGCUCAUGAACUUCCUGCGGGGCGACGCGGCGCGGCUGGCCCGGGGCGGGGGCCUGGGCUCGCCGGGCGAGGGGGGCGCCCUGCCGCGCUGCCGCCCGCUGCAGCUGGCCUCGCAGAAGGAGGUGGUGCUGUACGCGCACUUCCGCCGCCUCGACUACUUCUCCGAGGAGUGCGUCUACGCGCCCGAGGCCUUCCGCGGCCACGCGCGCCACCUGCUCAAGCUGCUGGAGGCGGCGCGGCCGUCGGCGGUGCUGGACCUCGUGCACUCGGCCGAGCGCCUGGCACUGGCCCCGGCCGCGCGGCCCCCGGCCCCCGGCGCCUGCUCCCGCUGCGGGGCGCUGGCCAGCCGCGCGCUCUGCCAGGCCUGCGCGCUCCUGGACGGCCUCAACCGCGGCCGGCCGCGCCUGGCCAUCGGCAAGGGCCGCCGGGGGCUGGACGAGGCGGGGCCGCCGCGGGACGGGGAGCCGGAGCGGGCCCCUGCCCCGGACGCCGUGCCUGCCUUCUAGGGACUCGGGUUCUCGGCCGGGAUGCGCCGCCCCGGAGCGCGGGGCUGCCUGUGAAUGACACUGGCUGCGCAUCCUGCGGGCGCUGCGCCGUCUUAUUUCAUCGCACCGUGAUCUCUUUGGUUGUAGCCUGAGACCCCGGUAAUUGGCCUGAGUCACCUAGCUGGAGAGGGACCGAACUGGGGUCUCACACCCAGGUCUGCCUGUGUCUUCAAGACUCUGGAAUCGUGUCCCAGCCUCACCUGAAUCUCCUCCAGUGUCUCUGUGUGAUGGGUGAGGGGCAGCUGGGUGGGCUCCCCACACCUCAGAUUCUGGAGGCGGAGCUAGGUGAGUCUGGGUCGGUGACUAAGCUCUCUGGUCUUCCGUUUCCUCCUCUGAAAAUGGAAUCAAAGCCCCCCAUCAAAGCAGUCUCUUGAGGAUUUGAUAACGCGCUCAAUAAAUGGUGGCCGACUGGGUUGUCAUGCUAAGGUUUGGCCACCAGGGGGCUCUGGGUUUCAGAGUUGCUGUCCUGCCAGUCCAGACAGGUGUAGGGCCCAGAAGCUUCUAGCUUGACCCCUGGGGAAACUUGUCUUCUCAGUCCCACCUCCAAGCUUUGCUGGGCUGGUGGCUUGUCAGGAAUGCCCUGCGGUCCCAUCUUCCUGCUCAAAUCCUCCAGGGUCCUCCUAGAAGCCUCACUGAUUCUCUCCACCCACUCCACCUAUCCCAGGACAAAGGACUCUCCCAAACCCCAGCCCUGGGUCAUGCCCUCCUGUGUGGCCAUCCACACUCUUCUGGGCCGUGUUCUCCCUAAUAGGACUGAGCUUUGAGGCCAGAGACCAGAUCUCCCUCCCUACCAGAUAACACAGCAUCACUCAUUCAUUUAUUGAGCCCCUAAUGUGUGCAGGGCCUUUCCAGACAUUGGUGGGGGGAAAAAAAAGACAAAACCUCUCAUUCAUGGAGCGUACAGUCUUCUGGGAGAGAGGCAGUAGAUGAGGAAAUAUAUAAUAUGAGGUCUGAUGAUGAGUGCUGUAAAUAAAGCAACCUAAGGGGAAA
This is a non-coding RNA of Equus caballus (horse), 2320 nucleotides long. The record is from RefSeq and is a predicted model, not a curated record. NCBI's taxonomy places the organism in Eukaryota, Metazoa, Chordata, Mammalia, Perissodactyla, Equidae.